RNAcentral lists this ribosomal RNA (586 nucleotides) under uncultured Glomus. Its description in RNAcentral is "LSU rRNA". It matches the Rfam family "Eukaryotic large subunit ribosomal RNA", at positions 204 to 637 of the family's 3401-position model. Lineage: Eukaryota; Fungi; Glomeromycota; Glomeromycetes; Glomerales; Glomeraceae. The record is from RNAcentral.
CAUGGAGGGUGAGAAUCCCGUUCAUGGUUAAUCUUAAGGAAGCUCUACGAUACGUUUUCCAAGAGUCGAGUUGUUUGGGAUUGCAGCUCAAAAUGGGAGGUAAAUUUCCCCUAAGGCUAAAUAUUGGCGAGAGACCGAUAGCGAACAAGUACCGUGAGGGAAAGAUGAAAAGAACUUUGAAAAGAGAGUUAAACAGUACGUGAAAUUGUUGAAAGGGAACGAUUGAAGUCAGUCAUACCAACGGGAAAUCAACCUUUUGAGCUUGGUUUCGUGGGUUUUGAAGAGUUUCAAAGCCUUCGGAUUCGCGAGAUUGGGAUCUCUUGGUGUACUUUUUCGUACGGUUAGUCAACAUCGGUUUUGAAUGUCAUAAAAUGACUGGAGGAAUGUAGCUUCGAUCUCGUAUUGAAGUGUUAUAGCCUUUGGUAGAUGUGACGUUUGAGACCGAGGAUUGCAACGGAUACCCUUCAGGGCUAUUCGUCUGAUCUCUGAUACGUUGCCUUGAUGUUGAAAGCUUGCUUAUGAUGUUAGGGUAUUACGGUCAAAAGGUUAGAACGAAUUACAUUCGUUAAGGAUGUUGACGUAAUGG